Molecule: long non-coding RNA, 203 nt
Filed under: Elaeis guineensis (African oil palm)
Lineage: Eukaryota; Viridiplantae; Streptophyta; Magnoliopsida; Arecales; Arecaceae
Description: long non-coding RNA (EGUI_LNC061159)
Source: RNAcentral
AGUGAGUUCUCAUGAUCCACCAAUGAUGUCUGGCAGUAUGUAGUGGUAAUCAAACAGAAUAAAAAAAAUGAAUUUCUAGAUACAGCUAUCGCAUGAUACAAUUACUCUAUCAUGAGUCCUGACUAGACGCAGAUCAUGAAAAAUUCGUCAAAUCCCAUCGUCAGUCAUAUGCCAGAUUGGCUCGAUUUAAGUUCAUCUAUGAA